AUGUCCACACCGGUGGAUCGAGCUCGCCCGUGGGAGGACGGACGCAAAUCAACUCGGAUCAGGUCAUCCUCUUCUCCUCCCAGCGGCAGCGAGACGGCGGCCGAGAGACUCACCGACGACCUCCUCGUCGAGAUACUCUCGCGCGUGCCUGGCAGGUCGCUCUGCCGCUUCAAGUGCGUCUCCAAGCACUGGCUCGGCCUCAUCAACGACCGCACCUACCGCCGGAAGCUCCCCCAGACCCUGACCGGCUUCUUCUUCAGGGAAACCUCGGAGGAGCAAUUGGUACAUCCAGUUCUUCCUUUCACCAAUUUAUCCGGGAGCCGCAGUCGCACCAGUCUCACCUUCCUGCCCAACGGCCGAAAGGCCUUUCUUUUGGACUGUUGCAAUGGCCUCCUUCUCUACGACGUAUCUUCCCAUCGUGGCAAGCGCCGUUACGUCGUUUGCAAUCCUGCCAUGGAGGAAUGGACUGAGUUGCCGCAUUGCGACCAUGCCGGCUGGGUGGGUAUUGUGCACUUAGGUUUUGAUCCAGCCGUGUCCCCCCACUUCCAUGUGUUUUUGUUGACGGACCAACUAAAUGGAUUUGGUCUCCCGGGUGUGGACGUCUGUUCAUAUGUCUAUUCAUCGGAAACCGGGAGGUGGGUUCAUAAGGAGAAGAAAUGGUACUGGGAUAUUGAUCUCGUUCGUGUUCACUCAGCUGCAUAUCUUAAUGGUUGUCUGCAUUUUUUCGCCGAAAUCAAUCACAAUACUCUGUGUCUAGCUGCCGACAAGGAGGCGGGAACAAUGAUAUACUCUCAUGUUCCUCCUCUGAAUGAUGGUUUUAUGCAGCAGUCACAGGGCUGCUUGUAUUAUGCUGGUUUUGGAAGAGAUGACAAUGAUGAUAAUGUAGUUCGACUGCUAGUUUAUGUUCUCGAAGACUAUAAUAGUAAAGAAUGGAUACUGAAGCAUAGCAUUGAAAGUUCACAUCUAUGUGGAGGGCAACAUGAUGUAGACAUUGAGGAGGACUUUUGUUGGAUUGCAAUUCAUCCGGAAUGUAACUUGAUCUUCUUCACCUUGGGCUGGGAUAGAACAUUCAUGUGCUAUGAUAUGGAUCGCCGGCAACUCAAAGUGAUAUGCAAUCUUGAAAAUUGCGCUCCACCAUAUCUGCCACAUGUGCCGCUAUAUGAAGAGUUACAAUCGUUGCACAAGUGA
Molecule: ribosomal RNA, 1188 nt
Filed under: Triticum aestivum (bread wheat)
Lineage: Eukaryota; Viridiplantae; Streptophyta; Magnoliopsida; Poales; Poaceae
Description: partial small subunit ribosomal RNA
Source: RNAcentral